This 622-nucleotide ribosomal RNA is filed under the name fungal sp. FD-1. RNAcentral's name for it is "eukaryotic LSU rRNA". The stretch from base 214 to 367 matches the Rfam family "5.8S ribosomal RNA". Lineage: Eukaryota; Fungi. The record is from RNAcentral.
UCCGUAGGUGAACCUGCGGAAGGAUCAAUACCGAGUGUAGGGUUCCUAGCGAGCCCAACCUCCCACCCGUGUUUACUGUAACCUUAGUUGCUUCGGCGGGCCCGCCUUUAAGGCCGCCGGGGGGCAUCAGCCCCCGGGCCCGCGCCCGCCGGAGACACCACGAACUCUGUCUGAUCUAGUGAAGUCUGAGUUGAUUGUAUCCCAAUCAGUUAAAACUUUCAACAAUGGAUCUCUUGGUUCCGGCAUCGAUGAAGAACGCAGCGAAAUGCGAUAACUAGUGUGAAUUGCAGAAUUCCGUGAAUCAUCGAGUCUUUGAACGCACAUUGCGCCCCCUGGUAUUCCGGGGGGCAUGCCUGUCCGAGCGUCAUUGCUGCCCAUCAAGCACGGCUUGUGUGUUGGGUCGUCGUCCCCUCUUCGGGGGGGACGGGCCCCAAAGGCAGCGGCGGCACCGCGUCCGAUCCUCGAGCGUAUGGGGCUUUGUCACCCGCUCUGUAGGCCCGGCCGGCGCUUGCCGAACCCAAAACAACCAUUCUUUCCAGGUUGACCUCGGAUCAGGUAGGGAUACCCGCUGAACUUAAGCAUAUCAAUAAGCGGAGGAAAAGAAACCAACCGGGAUUGCCUC